CACGUAGUUAGCCGGGGCUUUUUAGUCAGGUACUGUCACUUUCUUCCCUGCUGAUAGAGCUUUACAUACCGAGAUACUUCAUCGCUCACGCGGCGUCGCUGCAUCAGGGUUUCCCCCAUUGUGCAAUAUUCCCCACUGCUGCCUCCCGCAGGAGUCUGGGCCGUGUCUCAGUCCCAAUGUGGCCGGCCGCCCUCUCAGGCCGGCUACUGAUCGUCGCCUUGGUGGCCGUUACCCCGCCAACGAGCUAAUCAGACGCGGGCCCAUCCCAUACCACCGGAGUUUUCCCCAGGAAGCUAUGCAGCCUCCUGGGCGUAUGCGGUAUAGCAGCCGUUCCGGCUGUUACUCCCCCGGUAGUGGGGCUAGGUUCGCCCACGCGUUACCUCGACCCCGUCCGCCACUCCAGACCAGCUACUGUUCCUCCCCGAAGGGAACUCCCUGCCAGCCGCUUCGUUCGACUUGCAUGUGUUAAGCACGCCGCCAGCGUUCGAUCCGUGACGCCAGGACUACGAAACUCUACG
Molecule: ribosomal RNA, 518 nt
Filed under: uncultured Lachnospiraceae bacterium
Lineage: Bacteria; Bacillati; Bacillota; Clostridia; Lachnospirales; Lachnospiraceae
Description: partial 16S ribosomal RNA
Source: RNAcentral